This 311-nucleotide unclassified non-coding RNA is filed under the name Hevea brasiliensis (rubber tree). Lineage: Eukaryota; Viridiplantae; Streptophyta; Magnoliopsida; Malpighiales; Euphorbiaceae. The record is from RNAcentral.
AAUCAAAGAAAAACAAAACAAAACAAAAACAUCAAAAAAAAGAACUAAGUGAUAAUAACACUUUUCAUGGCUGGCCUUCAAUACAAUUUCUUCCCAACAGAUCUCCUUUAUCCCCUCCAAAAAACAAAGAAAGACAUCAACACUUCCCAACAAAACUCUCUUCUAAUCAAAACCAAAAAGAAUAGUGAUAAUGAAAUUUUAGAUGAUUCGAAAUCAUAUAAUAACUCCAUCAGUAACACCAACAACAAUAAUAAUGUCCUUAUAGCCAAUUCCUCUUUUGUCUUGGCUCCUAUUACAAAACACAAGGAAAA